This 348-nucleotide ribosomal RNA is filed under the name Enterococcus faecium. Its description in RNAcentral is "bacterial SSU rRNA". It matches the Rfam family "Bacterial small subunit ribosomal RNA", at positions 1 to 327 of the family's 1533-position model. Lineage: Bacteria; Bacillati; Bacillota; Bacilli; Lactobacillales; Enterococcaceae. The record is from RNAcentral.
UUUUAUGAGAGUUUGAUCCUGGCUCAGGACGAACGCUGGCGGCGUGCCUAAUACAUGCAAGUCGAACGCUUCUUUUUCCACCGGAGCUUGCUCCACCGGAAAAAGAGGAGUGGCGAACGGGUGAGUAACACGUGGGUAACCUGCCCAUCAGAAGGGGAUAACACUUGGAAACAGGUGCUAAUACCGUAUAACAAUCAAAACCGCAUGGUUUUGAUUUGAAAGGCGCUUUCGGGUGUCGCUGAUGGAUGGACCCGCGGUGCAUUAGCUAGUUGGUGAGGUAACGGCUCACCAAGGCCACGAUGCAUAGCCGACCUGAGAGGGUGAUCGGCCACAUUGGGACUGAGACAC